UCCCCUUCUCAAUUUCCUAAUGACAGGCGUGUCCUUCUCCUUCAUGCCCUUCUAUAAAACUGCGAAUAUGCGUUAUGUACAGGUUUUUAUUGGCGCCAAAUAGCAAUCUUUACCCAUUAGCCCAAAUCAAAUUGUAACGACAUUCCCCAACAAAAAUCAUAUCUGGAUCCAAGCUUCCAAAACACACCACAUAUGAAAAGGGUAGGAAACCAAGCGCAAAUGACCCAUAUUAGUAUUUUCGCACAUACCAAGAAACAAGGUGUUUCACACACAAGAACAGCAGAGUCCAUGUUCAAAGAAAUUGGAAUUCAGCAACAAAAUCGAAGCUAAUUAAAGCUAUGAUAUCUGGAGAUGACAGACUUUCAAGCGCAAAUUGCGAUUAUCGAAAUUUUGUUGAUCUUACGCAGCAAUGGCCAAUGAGGAUUAUCUGACAUAAUACAACACAAUCUACAUGAAAAAAAAAAAAUUGCAAUUCAACAUCGAAAUCGGAACUAAUUAAAUAAAUCAUUAUGGAAAUGUGUUGGCAAAAAAUUUCAAAGUAAAAAACAUUCCUCGAAACUUCAUAUCAACCAGUCAAAAUACCCUAAAUUCAAUUGAUACAGCAAACCUAAAGUUACCUUUUAUUCCCAAAUCGGAGAGUUUGAUUCAAUAUCAGCAUAAGGAGAUGCAUAUUUUGAUUGAGAAAUCCAAAAAAUCUCGGCUCCACCACAAUAUUGUCGACGAC
RNAcentral lists this long non-coding RNA (724 nucleotides) under Salvia miltiorrhiza (redroot sage). RNAcentral's name for it is "long non-coding RNA (SMIL_LNC006631)". The record is from RNAcentral. Lineage: Eukaryota; Viridiplantae; Streptophyta; Magnoliopsida; Lamiales; Lamiaceae.